RNAcentral lists this ribosomal RNA (561 nucleotides) under Triticum aestivum (bread wheat). RNAcentral describes it as "partial small subunit ribosomal RNA". The record is from RNAcentral. Lineage: Eukaryota; Viridiplantae; Streptophyta; Magnoliopsida; Poales; Poaceae.
AUGAAUAUCCGCCCCAAGGUAUUCGAAAUGCUCAAGGAGCACAAGAAGGAAGUGGGGUUGGCCAAGCUGAAGAACCAGAAGGGGAGGAACCAGCGGAAUAUCGCCCCACGAGGUCUCCGCAAUGACUCAGCCCGAGUGUUCCCUAGGAAGUUGUGCAAGCCUACUUAUAUUACGAGACUGUCUUUCAAGCGCUUCAACAAAACUGUGAAGAAGUUUAGUGAGAUUCAGUUAAGGCAUGUGACAAAGUACAAAAUGGAACCCCUGCUUCAUUUGCCAAAGAAACUUAAAAUCCCAAUGAAUCUGCUUGAAUGGAUUGAUCAGCAUAUGUUUGGAACUACAAAAAUCUGUUUCAAGCAUAAGAACAAAAUUAUCAAGAUUACUAAAGAUAUGGUCGACAAAUUUUUUGAUUUCCCUGGUGGCACUGUGCCUUUUGUAUUCAGUAGUGACGAUCCCCAAGUGAAGGCAGAGGUUAUAGAGUUAAGGAACAAGUAUGUCGAUCAUCGGAACAAAAUGCCAAUCAACAAAAUAGAGGAGAGACGUUUCUGCCAUCCCUUCACUUGA